Molecule: small nucleolar RNA, 69 nt
Organism: Otolemur garnettii (small-eared galago)
Lineage: Eukaryota; Metazoa; Chordata; Mammalia; Primates; Galagidae
Source: Ensembl
UGGCCAAGGAUGAGAACUCUAAUCUGAUUGGAUUCUGCUCUGAUGGAUUAAAGGAUUUACCUGAGGCCA